RNA transcript from Onychostoma macrolepis, 7807 nucleotides. RefSeq lists it as uncharacterized. The transcript has 7 exons. Lineage: Eukaryota; Metazoa; Chordata; Actinopteri; Cypriniformes; Cyprinidae. The record is from RefSeq and is a predicted model, not a curated record.
UUCUGGAUCACUCCUUAUCGAUGAUUACAAUCGACAGGUAAGGGGCCCUGGGAACGCCAUGAGGCGUUCCUAGGGGGAGGGGUACUGUCACGGUUCAUAGAUCCAAUGUCUCUCUCUAGUCUCGUGCUUUGUUGUUUACAUGUGUGUGAGUGGGUGUGUCCGGAUCGUUACCGUUGAUCAGUAUCCAGCUGCUAUCACUCUUCAUCACCAGCUGCCACUCAUCUCACCUCCUAUAAAUACUUACCACCUUCUCAUCUCCUUUGUCAGAUCGUUUCAUGAAGUCUAUGUUGUCUGAUCCUGUUUCCGUGCCUCGUGUCCCGUCUUCAGUUCCUGUGUUCCAGUUUCACGUCUUGUUGGAUCGUCUAUGUGUCUGGUUCCCGUCAUCCGUCAUCAGAGCACGCUGCACUUCAUCCAUCACGCCACGUCUGACCAUCAAAGUCCCUGUGCCACCGCCUGCUUCACCCGGAUCUAUUAUCAUCAUCAUCAUCAUCUGUUCUGACUUUAAAUAAAGAGUUUUACUUGCAAUUGUAUCCUCGUUUCUGACGUAACAAGCUGAGAUGCAAGCAGCUAUCAUCAGAUCAUCAGGAUGGAAUGAGAGGUAGAGUUGAGUGUCAUCAGCAUAGCAGUGAUAUGAAAAGCCAUGUUUCUGAAUGACAAAAUGUAGACAGUGAUUCCAUGUAGACAGAGAAUAUAAGUGGUCCAAGAACUGAGCCCUGAGGCACCCCAGCAGCUAGAUGUUACGACUUGGACACCUCACCCCCCCCCCCAAGAUACCUUGAAGGACCUGUCUGAGAGGUAAUUGUCAAACCACUGGAGUGCGGUUCCUGAGAUGCCCUUUGCCAAUAGGGUUGACAGGAGGAUCUGGUGGUUGACCAUAUCAAAAGAAGUGGACAGAUCCAGCUAGUUAAGUAAUGGAGAUUUGGAAACCGCUCUUGCCAGUCUUAGGGCUUCAACAACUGAGAGCAAGGCAGUCUCGGUUUAAUGUCCACUUCUGAAACCAGACUGGUUGCUGUCGAGGAGGUUGUUAUGUGUGAGAAAGGCAGAGACUUAGUUGAACACAACUCGCUCAAAAGUUUUUGCUAUGAAAGGAAGAAGGGAAAAGAGUUCUUUAAAAGAGUUGGGUUAAGAGUGGGUUUCUUAAGUAGUGGGGUUAUACGAGCCUGUCUAAAUGCUGAGUUAAAAACACCAGUGUGAAUGAGAUGAAAUAUGAUGAGAUUAAAUAGAAUCAAGUGGACAAGUAGUAGGAUGAUUUAGGAAGGAUGAGUUUAGGGACUUCUGACUCAGAGAGUGGAGAGAAGGAUGUGAAAGAGUGUAUGUUUGUUGGUAAGAUGUGUUUGACAGUUUGAGUAAGAGAUGCUAACUGUUUAGAGCGAGGAAGCGAAGAUGAAAGUAAAACAGAGAGCCUGGAGGGUGAAUGUGAGCCUAGUUUACAUCGAAAGAUGACAUGUGAAGGGGUAUGUGUUGUGUCAGGAACCAUGUUGAGGUUAAGAGUGAGCAGGAAGUGAUCUGAGGUGUGCAGUGGGGUAACCAGCACAUGAUCAGUGGAGCAGUGUCCUGAGAAUUAAUGAGAAAUUAUUGAAUUAAAUUAAAGAUUAUUAAAUAUAUAAUUAUCAUUGUAAUGCAUGGGGUGGGACUGAAAACCAUGAACGUGAGGCUUGGUGGCUCCCACGGCUCUCAGCCCCGCCCCACUUGUCCCAAAAAUUUUAAGUGAAAGUGACGUGACAUGUGGUCAAGUAUGGUUACCCAUACUCGGAAUUUGUGUUCUGCAAUUAACCCAUCCAAAUUGCACACACACAGCAGUGAACGAACGAACACACAGUGCAAAUGACAACUGAGCCACCUAUGAACCUUGAUCAGUCCCAAGAAACUUGGAUGAAGAAGAACAAACAUUUCCCCAUCCAACAAUUCCAGAUUAUUUUCUGUUCCACAAAAAAAUAAAAAAUAAAAAAUACAUGUUCCCCCCAAAAAAGGAUCCACAAGUAUGUGACACAGAGAAAGAAAUCUUCAAGUUUUGAUGCAUGUCAGCUUCCUGAAAAGGUACUCAAUGUAGAGGAAGUGUUAAUGAAGUCAUUAUACAAAAAUGAAAACUAUUUAUUUAUUGCAUAUAUUAAGGUACACUAUUAUUUACUGUAUGAACUGCAUGUCAUUAUAGGUCGACAUGCUAUGGAAGAAGCCACCUACAGAGCUGAUUGUAGCAGUUUUGAGGUCUCCUAGGCAGAAGAAUGAGUCCCUCUUACAUCACAGGAAAUUCCAAUCACUGAGGCCACAUGAGUGGUUAAAUGGAGAAGUACACAUAUGAAAACUAAAAUGCAAUUGCAUUAUUUUACAUUUCUAUUUCUAUUUUACAGUAUGAUAAGUAAUUUGAUUCCAAUUGAAAUGCUAUAUCAUAUUUUUUAGAUUUUUGCCUGGUAUUUCAGAGCUCUGCUUCAAAUGAAGGGUGCAAAUCUGUACCUGCUAGACUAUUACACCACAGGUGUCAUUUUAAAUGAAACAAGGGAGUGGAUCUUAAAGACGAAAUUGAAAAAAGUCAUCUUUGAGGAAUAUGAUGGGCUCAUCACUUUCGUAAAUAUCAACAACAACCACUGGCGGUUUGUGACAUUUUUUUCACAAUGAGACCUCAUACAAAUGAAAAGACAGACUGGGCGAAUAAGAACUGGACACCUGGCACAAUCACACAUCCAUUUCAGGAGGAUAGUUCCAGCUGUGAUGUCUUUGUGAUGCUGAUGGCCAAACAGGUGGUGGAAGAGUUCCCCAAAAUUUCUAACAUAAUUAAUAUAACACCCAGCACGGAGAUGAUGACCCACUACAGGAAAAGUGUAGCCAAAGAGAUUUUGCUGGCAUCAGGUAUAAAGCACUUUGAACAAACAGUUUAGUUCCAUGUUAUACACAGAGAGAUUAAAGAUAAUCCUAUCUACGUUAUAAUAAUUGCAGUGUCAAGACAGGAAUACUGCUGUGUGUGUGGAAAAUCAGAAAAAGACCAAACAGUGGAGCAAAGCACCUGGGUAUUCACUAUGCCAUUUCUGGCUGUUUACUACUUGUGUAAAGUGAAAACAAAUGUUUUGAAAAGUAAUUUUAACAAUUUCUACUAUGUCUAUAUAUAUCUAACAACAUGUCCUAGUUCCCUUCCGGAUUCAAUGUGAAUCAUGCCUGAGGUGGUUUCAUGUUCGGUGCCUCAACAUUAAUGUGCCACCAGAAGAACAAGCAUGGAUUUGUGAUUUGUGUUGGUAAGCUAUGCAGUUUGGAGCUUAUGCUGAAAGUGUGUUAAAACAAUAAGAAUAUGUGUUGCCUAUUUGAGAUGUUAUGGAAUUAGAUUUGUAGUGUUUAGUUUAUGUUUGAUAUUGGUGUAUUGGUGUAUGCAAAUUUCCAAUGUGCUUAUAUUUUGUUCUAUUUCAUAUUCAUUAAUACAACAUAUUUCUUAUUAGUUUAGCCAGUACAGUAGAAUCAUUACAAGUAAUUUUUUUCUUUAUGCACUUCUUUUUUGCAUUGCAUUCAUAUUACUGUUUUACAUUAUUCAUAUACUUAGAUAAGGAUUAUUCAUCGAUAUUAUGUAUAUUGUUCAUUUCACAUAUAAAAAGUAUAUUUUCCUAUGCUUAAGUGAUGUUUGAACAGCAUGUUGUAAAUGUAAUGUGCUAUUUUUUAUAUGCAAGGAUGUACUAAGUGGUCUAUUUUAAGAGCUGUUAUUUGUUGCUAAUUGAUAUUUGAAGAUUACAAGGUCUGCUUAUUUUAGUCAAAGGAUGACAAACCACAAAUUUUGUGGUGUUGUAAAAAGAUGUAUAAGUCUGUAUAUAGAAUAUACAGUUUGAAUGUCAUUUGUCUUCAUUAUUUAGAUAGUAUUAAAUAUAGUAUUUUAUGUGGCCAGGGAAACUUACUACAUACAGCUCAAUGCAUGUAGACUUCAGCAACAGUGCACCUUGAACAUGUUUUGGAGUUGUUUGUUCCACUAUAUGGGACAUUUUUAGCUUUAUAUAGCUGCUUUUCACAGACAACUAAAUGCAAUAAAUAAGCCAGUCCCCAUGGUGUACUGUGUCCUUUGGAGUGUGCUUAAUAAUAAAGUGAAUUGGGUUAACUUGGGCAAAGACUUGAAAAUUAUUGAAAGUUUAAGGUGCAGAUAGCAUCAGGACCAUGGACAGCGCCAUGAAAUACAAGUAUAGCCUAGUUUCUCUUUUAAAAUUAAAACAACAUCCAAGUUUGUUUCAGGUUUUAUGCUUAGUAUAAUAUUGUGUAAGGUUCGACAAUACAAGAUAUAUAUAUAUAUAUAUAUAUAUAUAUAUAUAUAUCAAGUUUUUUUUAAAGGGAAUGUGUCUCAAUGUACGCACCCAUCGAACAGAGAGAUGUGGGAAAAGUGUAAUUUAGAGCGAUUUUUGUCCUUUAAAGAGUUUUGCUAUGUUGUACAAUUUCAACUAAUUAUUUAGAAAUGUGUUUUGGAAAAGUGUGAGCCUGUUUUCCAAAGUUAUACAACUGGAAUGUGUCUCAAUGAAGAAAAACUUUGAAUACAAUGUUGGUAGAAAUUACACAUGUAAAGAAAGCAAUUGUAAAAUAUGUGAGUGAGGCACAAUUUAUUUAUAAAACAUCUUUUUAGCAGAAAGUUUAGCCAUUACUUUAUGAAGUGUUGACCCAAAAUACCAAAAAUAAGCAACCUGUUUGCUGUCAUGCUUUCUGAGUUCUUGUCAAGAAUCUGAUGGAUUCAGUGCCAUGGACAGUGAUAUUUCUGCAGGACUGUAAACAUCAAUCAAUGCACAUGAAUUGUGAUAUUGUCAGAAUGUAAUGUUAAAUAAAGAUUUCAUACAACAGGAAAACAUAAAAGUUAUUUUAGCAAUUCAUCUCAACUCAACACUUGGAGAACACUGUUACAAUGGUGUUUAGCACACUUAAAACCAGAAAAAACAAACAAACAAACAGAGGUGAAUAAAACAGCAAGACAUGGGCUGCAGUAUGUUCUGUAGGGUCCAGACAAGAUGUUCCAACUUGCUUUGGAGCAGUCGACCCAUGCUUUCAAAACCUAUAGAAAUAAAUCAUAUAUGUCAUCGUUAACACCAACACAGUUCUUGCUCAUUUUGAGGCAAAGAAAUAAAUAAAAAGCAUUAUAAAUUGAAAUUAGACAUUAACUAUGUUCAGGAGAUUACACAUGAUUUCCCAGUUGUAUGUAUUGUUACAAAAUUACAAGUUCAUUAUUUGUCAUUUCCUAAACGUCUCUUAAAACGGCAUAAUUAUAUUGCAGUUUUUUUUUUUUUUAUUGUUGCUAAAGGAGCAUAAGAAGGCAUACUGUGAGUGAUAUUUGUGAUACAAGUAAUUGUCUCUUUGCACACAAUUAAAAAAUAUAUAACUUUUUAGACGGUCCCUAUCUUGCUUACCGCUCUACAUUGGACAUUCGGCGGACAUUCGCAAGUAAAUAUGCCAUUAAAACAAUACUUGGCCAUUUUGUUCGAUUGUGAAAAAAAGGUAGUAGGUUGACAAUGAUGUCGCUGAAUCGAAUUUGCAAAAGAAACAUGUUUUGCACAUAUAAUUAGAAAGUUAUUGAACGCGGAAAUGUUGUGAAUGUGCGAAUAUGAAACCAACUUUACCCAAGUGUCGAGACGUAUGAUGAUCUACGCUUCGUAACGGAGGCUGAUUUGAUGACAGCAUUAAGACCUGUAGAAGCCAGAAAGCUUCUUUCUGCUUGGAAACUGUGAAUUUAAAGACCACACUCCCGAGAAGAGUUCACUAUCAUCUGUGGAAGCCUCACCUACCCAAUCACUGCUUUCACCCCAAAGUUCAUCGUCAAGCUCCUCCAGCAGCCCAGAACUUGACACACAGUGGGAGGUCAACUUUGAAAUUCCAUGGAGUAAAUUUCCUGAGGAAUUGAUGCAGGAUUUAGAGAGGGGGAAAAGGCCUGGCCCAAAACUAAGGAGGCAAAUGGUCCGGAUUGUUGUGACUGAGAUGAUGCAAAAAUGCCCUCAUGUAGGUAAAAAGCAUUCAACUGACGUUGCAACAAAAAUGGUGGCAAAAUAUCCCAGUUCUCUCCAAGAUGUAAUAGAGGGUGAUAUUGUUGGAACAGGCUACCAUUCCCUUGUCAAACAGUUGCAAAACAGAAUUGAAAAUGUGAGACGCACUUCAACACCCAAAAUAAGAAAAAGAAAACAUCAGACCGAUGACUCGGACCAAACAGACGAGAUCCCAUUAGAAGAGAGAGCAGCAAUGCAGGACACUUAUGGAUGCAUUAAAUGGAAUGUAAAAUUUCUGCCCCUUGAAGAAACUCAAGAGAGCCAGCAGCAAAAGAUGGAAAAACUCAAGGUGAUGUUCCAACAUUCUGAUGCCAAUCCAGAGGAGGUAAAAUGUUUAAUGAAGUCCACAUUUUACACACAGCGUCAACAUGUCAACCAGGGAAAAAGUAUCAAAUGCCUUAGAGAGGACGUUUUGGUUUGAUGAACUUGGCAGGUCAGUCCACUUUAUGGAACUCACUGGGAUUGACCUCAAAGAGAAAUUCACACGAAAUUUGGAUUUGAAAGGAAAAAGGCUUCUCGACUACAUGACCACAGUUUGUGUCAACAAGAGCAAGAAAUUCCUUCAGAAUUAUGCAAGGCUUCAGAGGAUGCGGGGAAUGCAGAGUGGCUGUUCAGAUGAUGUGAUAGAGAUGAUCCUGCUUCUGCUCAGCUACUUUGAUGAGAAGGAGGAGUCCAUGUUCUUCCAUGUAGAAGAUACAUGUCUGGCAGAAGAGGUCCAACUGGAGCAAGUGCCUCUGACACCCGUUGUUAUUGUCUGUGGACAGUCCUGCUAUUCCUCCACAAGGUACAUGCUGAGUCUGGAUCGGAACCUUAUCAACACAAACAUCUCCUCCUUCAUUUCUGCAUUGUGCCUCAUGUUCGGGAGCUACUACUGUUUUAAUAUUCAUUAUCCAUCUGAGCUGGCUUCAACUCUGGAGUUUCUUCAAAGGUGUUUUUUCUCGAUAAACCCAGAAAAAGGAACCAAGGUAGAGAAUAAAAACUCCAAGCGUCGUCUCAACGUGAACCCUCGAGUCCUCACCCUGAUACAGGAACUCUCCGAUCACGAGUGGCGUUAAGCCUAAAUAUGGACUCUUUCUGUGGACUCUGACUCUUUGUUUGAGAAGAACUUUUUCUCUGUUUGUUUGAGAAGAGGUACUGUUAGUUUUCGCUUUGUUAAAUCCACAAUGUGUAUUAUGUUUACUAAGGCACUAUAUGAUUAUUAUUAUUUUUUUAAGUCUUAAAGGUGCACUUUUUCUGGUAGCGAGUCCGCCACCUGCUUGUUUCAUGAAGAUGUUCUUUCUUUGCGGAAAUGUUUCACAAUAUGGUAUAAAACUUAUCUAUCUUGCAUUUAUUCAAUUAGAACUGUUUUUAUUGCAAACAAUACCUUAACAAACGUGAGGGGGCUCGCCUGUAGAUCUGUAGAUCUGACCUGUAACUUGGCCUUUUGGCAUCACCUGAUUGUCUCCAUGGAGAUAGAUAAGUUGUAUGCCAUACUGUGGAACAUUCCAGACAGGGAGAGUGUGGGUUGUUGUUGUGUGCCUGGCACAUAAACUUUGUUUCAAACUUUGAAAACUUUGUUUGAAUAAAAAUGCAUCCAGUUGUUUACAACUAUUGACGAUGGCUGUUAAAUAAAUUUCUCAAGUUAUAUUUUGCUCUCUUGUCUUUUCUCAAGAUGCGUUUUUGAGAUUUAACACAAUAACUUCAUUAUUAAAACAUAAAAAUACAGCAUAUUAUGAAUAGAUUUUAUGUAUAAUAUACAGAAUAUCUCAAUUUAAAAUGCAAAGUUUUUAUGUUGUUUUACCGGUUAAAAUGCGUUUUGUUUGAUAUUUUCCUGUUAAUUGUAUCAU